AAAGUUCACACUGUGACGGUAUCUUACCAGAUAGGGACGCCUAACUACGUGCCAGCAGCCGCGGUAAUUACGUAGGUCCCGAGCGUUGUCCGGAUUUAUUGGGCGUAAAGGGAGCCCAGGCGGUUAGAUAAGUCUGAAGUUAAAGGCUGUGGCUUAACCAUAGUACGCAAUGGAAACUGUUUAACUUGAGAGCAAGAGGGGAGAGUGGAAUUCCAUGUGUAGCGGUGAAAUACC
RNAcentral lists this ribosomal RNA (234 nucleotides) under uncultured bacterium. RNAcentral's name for it is "partial 16S ribosomal RNA". It matches the Rfam family "Bacterial small subunit ribosomal RNA", at positions 457 to 690 of the family's 1533-position model. The record is from RNAcentral.